UUGUCAAAAUUUUUCCAAGUGCUAAGCAUGGGUGGACAGUGAGAUACAAUGUUGAAGACAAAGAGGCAGUGCAGCAAGCUGAAGAAGCCCACCAGGACAUGUUGGAUUGGCUUACCAAGCAUGUCAAGUACAGUCAGAAGGGAAGUGGACUUACCAGUGUCCGAGGUCCCCGUUCCUCUAUGUGACAUGACUAUUCUUAAAUGACACAAGCAAACAACUACAACGAAUUUGAAGUUUGCUUCAUUAGUAUUCCACUCACUUUCAGCGUGGCGAUUCUACUGUAGAGUUAUGUUUGGCUCCAUAAACGAGACAUGAGAUGUUCAAUCUAAAUCUACUCAUGACCGUGUACCAUCACCAAGUUGUUGGGCAUGUACUUCCCAACUUGUUGAUUGGCCUUAAAAUGAUUCUUAAGUUGGGUGUACAAUCUGACAAAAAUGUUCAGAAACUUGUAGAUAAGUCAAAUAGCCAGGAACUAGGGCGGAGCUUCCCUUGUCCAAGUGAGUCAAUUGGUACUUCUUCACUGGAAUAUUACACGGUGUAGAUAGGUUAAUUCCUUUUUAGAUGUAUACAUACUAUACAUUGAAUUCCUUUUACAUUGUGUGUUGUCUUUUUUAUAUUUUAAAC
Capsicum annuum is the source of this 624-nucleotide long non-coding RNA. RefSeq lists it as uncharacterized. The transcript is spliced from 2 exons. Lineage: Eukaryota; Viridiplantae; Streptophyta; Magnoliopsida; Solanales; Solanaceae. The record is from RefSeq and is a predicted model, not a curated record.